Molecule: ribosomal RNA, 836 nt
Filed under: uncultured Pseudomonadota bacterium
Lineage: Bacteria; Pseudomonadati; Pseudomonadota
Description: bacterial SSU rRNA
Rfam family: Bacterial small subunit ribosomal RNA
Source: RNAcentral
GGUUGAACGCUGGCGGCAGGCUUAACACAUGCAAGUCGAGCGGAGAUAAGGUGCUUGCACCUUAUCUUAGCGGCGGACGGGUGAGUAAUGCUUAGGAAUCUGCCUAUUAGUGGGGGACAACAUUCCGAAAGGAAUGCUAAUACCGCAUACGCCCUACGGGGGAAAGCAGGGGAUCUUCGGACCUUGCGCUAAUAGAUGAGCCUAAGUCGGAUUAGCUAGUUGGUGGGGUAAAGGCCUACCAAGGCGACGAUCUGUAGCGGGUCUGAGAGGAUGAUCCGCCACACUGGGACUGAGACACGGCCCAGACUCCUACGGGAGGCAGCAGUGGGGAAUAUUGGACAAUGGGCGGAAGCCUGAUCCAGCCAUGCCGCGUGUGUGAAGAAGGCCUUUUGGUUGUAAAGCACUUUAAGCGAGGAGGAGGCUACUUAGAUUAAUACUCUAGGAUAGUGGACGUUACUCGCAGAAUAAGCACCGGCUAACUCUGUGCCAGCAGCCGCGGUAAUACAGAGGGUGCGAGCGUUAAUCGGAUUUACUGGGCGUAAAGCGUGCGUAGGCGGCUGAUUAAGUCGGAUGUGAAAUCCCUGAGCUUAACUUAGGAAUUGCAUUCGAUACUGGUCAGCUAGAGUAUGGGAGAGGAUGGUAGAAUUCCAGGUGUAGCGGUGAAAUGCGUAGAGAUCUGGAGGAAUACCGAUGGCGAAGGCAGCCAUCUGGCCUAAUACUGACGCUGAGGUACGAAAGCAUGGGGAGCAAACAGGAUUAGAUACCCUGGUAGUCCAUGCCGUAAACGAUGUCUACUAGCCGUUGGGGCCUUUGAGGCUUUAGUGGCGCAGCUAACG